ACGUUAGCGGCGGACGGGUGAGUAACACGUGGGUAACCUACCUAUAAGACUGGGAUAACUUUCGGGAAACCGGAGCUAAUACCGGAUAAUAUUUCGAACCGCAUGGUUCGAUAGUGAAAGAUGGCUUUGCUAUCACUUAUAGAUGGACCUGCGCCGUAUUAGCUAGUUGGUAAGGUAACGGCUUACCAAGGCAACGAUACGUAGCCGACCUGAGAGGGUGAUCGGCCACACUGGAACUGAGACACGGUCCAGACUCCUACGGGAGGCAGCAGUAGGGAAUCUUCCGCAAUGGGCGAAAGCCUGACGGAGCAACGCCGCGUGAGUGAUGAAGGUCUUCGGAUCGUAAAACUCUGUUAUUAGGGAAGAACAAACGUGUAAGUAACUGUGCACGUCUUGACGGUACCUAAUCAGAAAGCCACGGCUAACUACGUGCCAGCAGCCGCGGUAAUACGUAGGUGGCAAGCGUUAUCCGGAAUUAUUGGGCGUAAAGCGCGCGUAGGCGGUUUUUUAAGUCUGAUGUGAAAGCCCACGGCUCAACCGUGGAGGGUCAUUGGAAACUGGAAAACUUGAGUGCAGAAAAAGAAAGUGGAAUUCCAUGUGUAGCGGUGAAAUGCGCAAAGAUAUGGAGGAACACCAGUUGGCGAAAGCGACUUUUCUGGUCUGUAACUGACACUUAUAUGCGAAAAACGUGGGGGAUCAAACACGGAUUAGAUACCCCUGGGUAUUCCCCCCCCCUAUACCAACAAUUGCUGAUUGUUUAGGGGGGUUUUCCCCCCCCUUUAUGGCUGGCAACCUAACGGCAGUUAAGGCACUCCCCCCGGGCCGGAGUACGAACCACCACGGGUGGGGUACUUCCCCAUGGAAGUUGUUUUGGGGGACCCCCCCCCCAAGCCAGGUUGGUAGCAACGCC
RNAcentral lists this ribosomal RNA (910 nucleotides) under Staphylococcus sp. RNAcentral describes it as "partial 16S ribosomal RNA". The stretch from base 1 to 815 matches the Rfam family "Bacterial small subunit ribosomal RNA", at positions 89 to 873 of the family's 1533-position model. Lineage: Bacteria; Bacillati; Bacillota; Bacilli; Caryophanales; Staphylococcaceae. The record is from RNAcentral.